RNAcentral lists this ribosomal RNA (506 nucleotides) under uncultured bacterium. Its description in RNAcentral is "bacterial SSU rRNA". It matches the Rfam family "Bacterial small subunit ribosomal RNA", at positions 16 to 518 of the family's 1533-position model. The record is from RNAcentral.
AUCAUGGCUCAGGAUGAACGCUAGCGGCAGGCUUAACACAUGCAAGUCGAGGGGCAUCGGGAGUAGCAAUACUGCCGGCGACCGGCGCAAGGGUGCGUAACGCGUGAGCAACAUGCCCGUAUCAGGGGGAUAAUCCAUGGAAACGUGGUCUAAUACCCCAUAGUAAUUAUGUAAGGCAUCUUAUAUAAUUUAAAGCUUUGGUGGAUACGGAUUGGCUCGCGUGACAUUAGCUAGAUGGUAAGGUAACGGCUUACCAUGGCUACGAUGUCUAGGGGUUCUGAGAGGAAGGUCCCCCACACUGGAACUGAGACACGGUCCAGACUCCUACGGGAGGCAGCAGUGAGGAAUAUUGGACAAUGGAUGGAAAUCUGAUCCAGCCAUGCCGCGUGCAGGAAGACGGCCCUAUGGGUUGUAAACUGCUUUUGUAUGGGAGCAAUAAGGGCUACGCGUAGUCCGAUGAGAGUACCAUACGAAUAAGCACCGGCUAACUCCGUGCCAGCCGCCGC